AUGACUUUCAUCAUCAUCUUCAUCUGGACACUCACAGUCUUUACUCAAGUGUGUAGAGGACAGUACACUCUUACUCAGAGUCCAUCAAUAACAGCAGUUCAACCAGGACAACAAGUUAAAAUAAACUGUCAAGUCAGCAGUGCAGUGUACAGUUAUAAUGGUGAUUACCUACACUGGUACUUACAGAGACCUGGAGAAGCUCCUAAACUCCUCAUAUAUAAAACAAACACCCUCCAGUCAGGAACUCCAUCAAGAUUCAGUGGCAGCGGAUCAAACACAGAUUUCACUUUGACCAUCAGUGGAGUUCAGACUGAAGAUUAA
Non-coding RNA from Paramisgurnus dabryanus, 321 nucleotides. The record is from the annotation of a RefSeq genome assembly. NCBI's taxonomy places the organism in Eukaryota, Metazoa, Chordata, Actinopteri, Cypriniformes, Cobitidae.